This 1108-nucleotide ribosomal RNA is filed under the name uncultured organism. RNAcentral's name for it is "bacterial SSU rRNA". It matches the Rfam family "Bacterial small subunit ribosomal RNA", at positions 60 to 1198 of the family's 1533-position model. The record is from RNAcentral.
AGUCGAACGCAACCUUCGGGUUGAGUGGCGGACGGGUGAGUAACGCGUGAGAAUCUGCCUUGGGGUCGGGGACAACCACUGGAAACGGUGGCUAAUACCGGAUAAGCCUUUGGGUAAAAAAUUUAUUGCCCCAAGAGGAGCUCGCGUCUGAUUAGCUAGUUGGUGAGGUAAAAGCUCACCAAGGCAGCGAUCAGUAGCUGGUCUGAGAGGACGAUCAGCCACACUGGGACUGAGACACGGCCCAGACUCCUACGGGAGGCAGCAGUGGGGAAUUUUCCGCAAUGGGCGAAAGCCUGACGGAGCUAGACCGCGUGAGGGAGGAAGGCUCUUGGGUUGUAAACCUCUUUUCUCAGGGAAGAAGCUCUGACGGUACCUGAGGAAUCAGCCUCGGCUAACUCCGUGCCAGCAGCCGCGGUAAUACGGAGGAGGCAAGCGUUAUCCGGAAUUAUUGGGCGUAAAGCGUCCGCAGGUGGCGAUUCAAGUCUGCUGUCAAAGCACGGGGCUUAACUCCGUUAAGGCAGUGGAAACUGAAUAGCUAGAGUGCCGUAGGGGUAGAGGGAAUUCCCGGUGUAGCGGUGAAAUGCGUAGAGAUCGGGAAGACCAUCGGUGGCGAAAGCGCUCUAACUGGACGGCAACUGACACUCAGGGACGAAAGCUAAGGGGAGCGAAUGGGAUUAGAUACCCCAGUAGUCCUAGCUGUAAACGAUGGAUACUAGGUGUAGCGUGUCUAGACCAGAUCUGCCCGAAAGAUAGCGCGUUAUGUAUCCCGCCUGGGGAGUACAGCACGCAUGUGUGAAACUCAGAGGUUUUCGCGGGCGCCCCACAACAAGCUGGUGGUAAUAUGUGGUAUUAUGUCGACUGCCACGCAGAAGAACCUUAGCAGCGCUUGACAUCUCAGUAUCCGCCGAUGAAAGCUGGGACUUCCUUCGCGGAGCCGGAACAGCAGGUGCUGCAUCGCUGUCAUCAGCUCGUCUCGAUGAGAUGUUGGAUUUACUCCCGCAACGAGCAGCAACCCUCGUCUUUAGUCGCACAGCAUUAAGUGGCACACUUUAGAGAGACUGCCGUUGACAAACCGGAGGAAGGUGGGGAUGACGUCAAGUCAGCAUGC